RNAcentral lists this long non-coding RNA (339 nucleotides) under Vulpes vulpes (red fox). Its description in RNAcentral is "lncRNA (ENSVVUG00000010966.1)". The record is from RNAcentral. Lineage: Eukaryota; Metazoa; Chordata; Mammalia; Carnivora; Canidae.
AUGUCAACAAUUUUUUGGAGAGAGAAGAGGUACUCCCUUAUAGGGACUCGUAAAGACAUAGAGCAUCUAGAGAUUUACUGCCUCCAUUACGCUGCUGGCUCUCGCAGCACUUGUUAUGUUUUUAUCAGUUUCUCUCCAGAAGAUCAUAUCAACCAAAUAGGAGUUCAUAAUCAAAAUCCAGCAAACACAUAAGAAAAUAAGCGAGAGCAGAAAAGACAAAUUGCAGAUGUAGCCUCCACCCUGCCCAGGAUUAAAAGGUAUUGCAAUUAGCUGAUAUAGAAUAUAUAAAAACAAAUUUGAAAUGUUUAAAAAAAAUAAACUGGCAGAAUUGAACUUACA